AUGAACUGUCUUUGACUUACCAAU
This 24-nucleotide non-coding RNA is filed under the name Arabidopsis thaliana (thale cress). Lineage: Eukaryota; Viridiplantae; Streptophyta; Magnoliopsida; Brassicales; Brassicaceae. The record is from RNAcentral.